UCUAAAGAGUGGGAGAAGCUUAUAUUAAAAAUAAUAUAGCUCUUUUCAUGGACCAAUGUAUAAAUUUUUAUGCUAAAAAUUUAUAAGGUCUUAAAAUAAAAAAAAAUUGGCAUUUUUUUUAAAAUAAAAACAAAACAGGCCUGGAUCCGGGUCGGAUUUUACCCGGAUCCGGCCCCUCUGGGAGCGCAUCAUUGCAUAUGCGCGUGCACCCAGAACCUUGGCCCACGCUCUCAAUCCUAUGACAGUGAUGGCCAAGGUUUUCUAUGCGUCUAUGCGUUCAUGCGAUGGCAUUUUAAGCAUAUAAGUAUAUGCGUGCAUAUACGCGCAUAUACGUAAAUAUGCGACAUGUUAUAUUUACAUGUAUUUUUUAUAAUUACCCCUGAUAUUUCCAUAAUAUAUGAAUAAUAUAAUAUAGCAAAUAGUGUUCCAAUGAUCCAAUAAAGUUUAAAAGUCUAAAUAGUAAAUAGAAAUUGCAUAACAAAGUCUAAAACUAUAUAAUUAAGAUUAAGUGAUUAACAAUAGUCUAAGCCCAAGGACUCUAAGGUCUAAGGAGCUUGCUCAACAUCCUCUUCAACUUCAGCUCCUCUCCUAUUCCUUGUUGAUGGUCCAAUAGGUUCAUUGACACCCAUAGCUACUUCAAUAGACGCCCAAGUUAAACCUUCUUCACCAUAAACAAAUUCAUUUGAAGGACCGUCUUCACCGGUCAUCCAUUCACUACUCCAAUUCAAAUCUUCA
This 735-nucleotide long non-coding RNA is filed under the name Zostera marina. RNAcentral describes it as "long non-coding RNA (ZMAR_LNC005594)". Lineage: Eukaryota; Viridiplantae; Streptophyta; Magnoliopsida; Alismatales; Zosteraceae. The record is from RNAcentral.